This is a long non-coding RNA of Wyeomyia smithii (pitcher-plant mosquito), 806 nucleotides long. RefSeq lists it as uncharacterized. The record is from RefSeq and is a predicted model, not a curated record. The transcript is spliced from 2 exons. NCBI's taxonomy places the organism in Eukaryota, Metazoa, Arthropoda, Insecta, Diptera, Culicidae.
AUUUCUACUAUAAAGAUUCCCAAACCCUCUCGAUCCCUAUUUAUCACUUUCCUAUCCCUCGACCGUAAACAUUAACCAUCACAAGCAUAUAUCAAGAUGGCUUGACAACGUAAUUUUUUUUAAUUCUUUUAUCACCAAUAUUUAGUGGUUAAUUUCUUGGCGCAUUUCACGUGCGUGCUGUCAAAUCGUGCUUAGAUGUCAGCUCGGCCCAGCAAGGACAUCACGGUCUAUAUUACCCUGGACAGGCCGAGGACCGGCCUCUUAUAUUAUCUACUCUUGGCCAAGUAGCAUCUCCGGUUGGUUAAACCUUCGGGAUUAGUAUCCCCGCUCGCUAAAGUUAAAAGUUAAAUGAACCAUUGUUGGACCGUGUGGUCAGUGUCCCCACCUGUGGACGCGUGAAGUGUUGGGAUCCCCGGCUGGACCGUUCCGGGUUAGGCGCUGCUGUAAACGUCCAAGGGCUGCGUACGUCAACUGGAUCCUGGAUCGUUCCGAACAAACUCCCCAUUCGAAUCUCGACGAGACUAUCCAAGCCGUGUGAAUUGCCAGGUGCUGUGAUUAGCGCUUCAGACCGUGGACGACUUGCGGAGAACGGUGGUGGUGCUUAUUCCGUCUCAAUAGUGGACCACAACCGAGCAACUCCAAGAUGUCUGGUGCUAUCAUCGUAGAGCCGGCCACUGGGGUGGUGCGCGGCGUCAUCGACAAAAUGUAAAGCGGAUCGUAAAUCCUUAAUUAUACUUUCCAAACCGUUCCUUUCCAAUUUUGUAAAAGCAAAUGAAAUAAAUUAGUUUUGUGUGAAAUGAACAUAA